Mobula hypostoma (lesser devil ray) is the source of this 695-nucleotide long non-coding RNA. RefSeq lists it as uncharacterized. Lineage: Eukaryota; Metazoa; Chordata; Chondrichthyes; Myliobatiformes; Myliobatidae. The transcript is spliced from 4 exons. The record is from RefSeq and is a predicted model, not a curated record.
AGAAAUGAUUCUUUACCAUUGGAAGAAAGCAGACCUCCUGUUUUUAUCUACACAAACGUCGCUAAUGAAGGGAGGACAGUUCAGUCAGAUGUUGAACACGAAUAUGCCACGAUCCUUCAGCCUGAAGAAACUGAAGCUUCGAACACCUUUCGGACGAGACAGGUGUCGCUCUAUGCCGCAAUCAAAUAAGCCCUAUGAAUGAACAGCUUUACCAGUCGAGGAUUAGGGUACAGGUUAACUCAAUUGAAAGAUACCAAGACGCAUUACUUUCCAGACAUCGUCGCGAGAAUUCAAGAGACUUCGAAUCAGAACAUUGACAUGGUGUCUUCUGAUUCAUAAUGGGAUAUUCUGCUGUAGGUGGACAGUUAUCAACUGAUCAGCGUUUUUUUUUAUCUGCGGAUAUCAUUCUUACCUGCGCUUGAAAUCAGUUUCUAUCCUACCCUCCUCACCAACCAAACGCUGUUCGUUAGCACAAUUGAUGUGCCUUCUAUACGUUUGUAAUUUCCUUGAGAAAUAUACUAGUGCAUGUUUAUAACAACCAGGUGUAUAAAACCCUGGUGAGGACGUUGAAAUAAUAUGAAUUUGGCGAAACGUAGAUUUUCUCUUUAAUUCUGCAGCUUGUAGUAUUUACAUAGGGAAAAAAUGUAUCAUAACGACAUACGCUUUUAUCAACGUGACUUAACCAAAAUAAAACA